UUUUUGUUUCCUAUUAGAACUAGAACUCUUUAAAAACUAGUAUAAAUAUGGGAUCUAUUUUCAAACCCUAAAGGAGACGGACACACUAAUUAAUUAGGGUUUUAGAGAGAGCAGAGAGGGCCAGAAACGUGUAGGCAGAAGAUCUGAGCUGGAGUCAGAUUUUCGCAGGAAAUCAAGUUCUGGCAGUUUCGGGAGAACGGCCAUAACUUCCUCCACAGAACUCCGAUUCAAGCGAAACAGGCGGCCACGGAAAGCUCUCUCGAAGACGAAGAAGUCGUAUUUCUGGGCAAAAUAUGAUUUGAGGACGUUUGGGGCUUCAAACGAAGGUUUGAAGCUGACUGGUCUGUUCAGCUGCGAUUUGACGAAUUCUUCUGGUGCGGCGCUAUUAAGACCUUCAUUCCGGAUUUGAUUUAUUUAGCUUCGACUUUAAGGUGAGGGAUUUUACACUUAUUCAUAUGGUUAUAUAUGUUUUAUUAUCGCGUUGAUUACUUGUUUACGUGCAUCCUUGACUAUGUUGUUAUGUGUGAUCAUGGGACCUAAGCCAUUGAUCUAUGUUAUGUGCGAUCAUGGGACCUAAGCCAUUGAUCUAUGUUAUGUGCGAUCAUGGGACCUAAGCCAUUGAUCUAUGUUAUGUGCGAUCAUGGGACCUAAACCAUUGAUCUAUGUUAUGUGUGAUCAUGGGACCUAAGCCAUUGAUCGAUCAUGGGACCUAAGCCAUUGAUUUAUGUAUGUGUUUGGUCAUGGGACUUAAGCCAUCGACUCAAAAUAUGAUUAUGUUUGUCAAGGGGCUCUAGUCUCUUGGCGUAUGUUUGCAAGUAUGAUAAUGUGAUUUAAUUAUAUAUGUGACAUAUAUGAAUAUUUUGUUAUGUUCCUCACUGAGUAUAUUUUCAAUAUGCUCACCCCUUAUUUUCUCAGUUUUGCAGUUCUGGAGUCGAGGUGGCCAUGGAAGUCGAGAAUGACUAG
RNAcentral lists this long non-coding RNA (963 nucleotides) under Salvia miltiorrhiza (redroot sage). Its description in RNAcentral is "long non-coding RNA (SMIL_LNC002197)". The record is from RNAcentral. Lineage: Eukaryota; Viridiplantae; Streptophyta; Magnoliopsida; Lamiales; Lamiaceae.